RNAcentral lists this long non-coding RNA (1286 nucleotides) under Mus musculus (house mouse). RNAcentral's name for it is "T-box 3, opposite strand 1, transcript variant 3 (Tbx3os1)". Lineage: Eukaryota; Metazoa; Chordata; Mammalia; Rodentia; Muridae. The record is from RNAcentral.
AGUUGAGCUAGACUCUGGCUUUCACAGGCAGCGAGAUCAAGGGGGGGAGGAAAAGUCUCUCCUUUAAAAAAAAAAAAAAAAAAAAAGCGAUUUAAGCCCCUUUCCAGCGGCGCUUUCAAAACUAGAACUGCGAAGCUGGCUUCGGUUCGCGAUCCUCCUCUCUGGCUCCGGGCUGCGCGCAGAGUCUGGGUGGCGAGCGAAUGGUGCCUGCGAUCUUCUGCCUCGGGGAGCCGGCUGUCUUCCUUGUGCUAAAAAAACGGAGGAAGUCUGUCUGCCACAGGGCAGAGGGUGGUAUCCAAAGGGUCUCCUCUCCUUGAGUGACUGGUUCCUCCAUUGGAUCUCAGCUCGUAGCUCCUGACCUCAAGCAAGUGCUACUGAAGUGGAAAUGUCUUAUAUCCUGUUUUGUGAUUCCCUGCCUCAGAGCUGAGUCACCCCUGCCUGAAGAAAGGAUCCUUCAUCCCAAGGCUCACUCACUUCCUAUCCAAGCCAUCUCAAGCUAAAGGCAAAUGAACCAAGGAACCCCUCCUGCGCCUGGACCUGAAGAUGAAGGGCUAUAAUCCCAGCUUCUCAGGAGGACAAGGCGGGAGGAGUUCCAGGUCACUCUGGGAAAUCUAGAGACUCUCAAAAAAAAAAAAAAAAUCAAAAGGAUUGGAAACUUCAAGGAGUCAUAGUACAAUGGAUAACCUUCUCAGUGCACAUGGGUCCCGUGCCCUAGCACCCAAUAGGUAGAUCUCCUGCUUGUCCGUUCCCUAGCAUCCAAUACUGGCAAGAGAGGCAAAGGCCCCCACCUCCUCUGCCUCUCUCCUUACUCCCUUUCCCGACUCAGAGUCCUAGGUUGGUUAAGAACCCCCUAGCCCCACAGGCAGCUGUCCUUUGCACUUAGCCAAGCAAGGUGGGGUGGGCAUGACCCCCAUUCUGACUUGUACUUCCUCUCUCUGUUGCCAGGCUUCUAGUUGGCAUUGCUCGCCUGCCACUUCCUCCAUUCCAACCGUCUCUCUUCACUCUGAAACCCAAAGCCUGCUCAAGACCCAGUUGGUUCAGAGCUCAGGUUCAUGUGUCUUAGGAGAGGGUUCUAUUAGUCUGGAAAAUGAGUGCAGCCAGAAGACAAGAAACUGGCUGGGGGGGGGAUUGGGGGAAGGGAAGAUGACCGAGGAGCCCCCCCCCCUUCUCUCUACCCCAUCCCAUGAUUUCCUUUGUCUCCUGUCCCAAUCCCAACCCAUCUCCCCACCCCCAGCCUAUGAGCCUGGAGGCUUCCCAAUAAAACAGUAUUGUAACCUUAUCUAAGA